This 486-nucleotide ribosomal RNA is filed under the name Salmonella enterica. RNAcentral describes it as "partial 23S ribosomal RNA". It matches the Rfam family "Bacterial large subunit ribosomal RNA", at positions 774 to 1257 of the family's 2925-position model. The record is from RNAcentral. Lineage: Bacteria; Pseudomonadati; Pseudomonadota; Gammaproteobacteria; Enterobacterales; Enterobacteriaceae. RNAcentral also lists the same sequence under 1 other name.
CCGAACCGACUAAUGUUGAAAAAUUAGCGGAUGACCUGUGGCUGGGGGUGAAAGGCCAAUCAAACCGGGAGAUAGCUGGUUCUCCCCGAAAGCUAUUUAGGUAGCGCCUCGUGAAUUCAUCUCCGGGGGUAGAGCACUGUUUCGGCUAGGGGGCCAUCCCGGCUUACCAACCCGAUGCAAACUGCGAAUACCGGAGAAUGUUAUCACGGGAGACACACGGCGGGUGCUAACGUCCGUCGUGAAGAGGGAAACAACCCAGACCGCCAGCUAAGGUCCCAAAGUCAUGGUUAAGUGGGAAACGAUGUGGGAAGGCCCAGACAGCCAGGAUGUUGGCUUAGAAGCAGCCAUCAUUUAAAGAAAGCGUAAUAGCUCACUGGUCGAGUCGGCCUGCGCGGAAGAUGUAACGGGGCUAAACCAUGCACCGAAGCUGCGGCAGCGACACUGUGUGUUGUUGGGUAGGGGAGCGUUCUGUAAGCCUGUGAAGGU